AUUGAACGCUGGCGGCAUGCCUUACACAUGCAAGUCGAACGGUAGAGUAGCAAUACUCGAGAGUGGCGAACGGGUGAGUAAUAUAUCGGAACGUGCCCAGUCGUGGGGGAUAACGUAGAGAAAUUUACGCUAAUACCGCAUACGAUCUACGGAUGAAAGCGGGGGACCGCAAGGCCUCGCGCGAGAAGAUGAGCCGAUGUCCGAUUAGCUAGUUGGUGAGGUAAAGGCUCACCAAGGCGACGAUCGGUAGCUGGUCUGAGAGGAUGAUCAGCCACACUGGAACUGAGACACGGUCCAGACUCCUACGGGAGGCAGCAGUGGGGAAUAUUGGACAAUGGGCGCAAGCCUGAUCCAGCCAUGCCGCGUGUGUGAAGAAGGCCUUCGGGUUGUAAAGCACUUUUGUUGGGGAAGAAAAGACCGUGGUUAAUGACCGUGGUUCAUGACGGUACCCAAAGAAUAAGCACCGGCUAACUUCGUGC
RNAcentral lists this ribosomal RNA (479 nucleotides) under uncultured Gammaproteobacteria bacterium. RNAcentral's name for it is "bacterial SSU rRNA". It matches the Rfam family "Bacterial small subunit ribosomal RNA", at positions 30 to 508 of the family's 1533-position model. The record is from RNAcentral. Lineage: Bacteria; Pseudomonadati; Pseudomonadota; Gammaproteobacteria.